RNAcentral lists this small RNA (1430 nucleotides) under Pongo abelii (Sumatran orangutan). Its description in RNAcentral is "retained intron". Lineage: Eukaryota; Metazoa; Chordata; Mammalia; Primates; Hominidae. The record is from RNAcentral.
AAUGCAUUCUGAAGCAACCCAGAUGUCACCAUCUGAUCUAACUAUAUUUGGUUUGCAGAAGGAACUGCUGAAAUGUAAACAAGAAGCCAGAAACUUACAGGGGAUAAAGGAUGCCUUGCAGCAGAGAUUGACUCAGCAGGACACAUCUGUUCUUCAGCUCAAACAAGAGCUACUGAGGGCAAAUAUGGACAAAGAUGAGCUGCACAACCAGAAUGUGGAUCUGCAGAGGAAGCUAGAUGAGAGGAACCGGCUCUUGGGAGAAUAUAAAAAAGAGCUGGGGCAGAAGGAUCGCCUCCUUCAGCAGCACCAGGCCAAGUUAGAAGAAGCACUCCGGAAACUCUCUGAUGCCAGUUACCACCAGGUCAGAACAUAUUCAGCCACUGACUUUCCUGCCCCUUUGGCCCAAAGAAAUCCUUUUCUGAUUUAGUGUCUGUUUUGCAGGUGGAUCUAGAGCGAGAGCUAGAACACAAAGAUGUCCUCUUGGCUCACUGUAUGAAAGGAGAGGCAGAUGAGGCGACCGACUACAACAGUCACAACUCUCAAAGCAAUGGUUUUCUCCUUCCAACGGCAGGAAAAGGAGUUGCUUCAAUCAGCAACAGAGGGACCAGCGACCUGCAGCUUGUUCGAGAUGCUCUCCGCAGCCUGCGCAACAGCUUCAGUGGCCACGAUCCUCAGCACCACACUAUUGACAGCUUGGAGCAGGGCAUUUCUAGCCUCAUGGAGCGCCUGCAUGUUAUGGAGAUGCAGAAGAAACAAGAAAGAAAGGUUCGGGUCAAGUCACCCAGAACUCAAGUAGGUAGUGAAUACCGGGAGUCCUGGCCCCCUAAUUCAAAGCUGCCUCACUCACAGAGCUCUCCAACUGUCAGCAGCACCUGUACUAAAGUGCUCUAUUUCACUGACCGGUCACUUACGCCCUUCAUGGUCAAUAUACCAAAGAGGUUGGAGGAGGUGACAUUAAAGGAUUUUAAAGCAGCUAUUGAUCGGGAAGGGAAUCACCGGUAUCACUUCAAAGCACUGGAUCCUGAGUUUGGCACUGUCAAAGAGGAGAUUUUCCAUGAUGAUGAUGCCAUCCCUGGAUGGGAAGGGAAAAUUGUAGCUUGGGUGGAAGAAGACCAUGGAGAGAAUUAAUGCCAAGUAUCAGAUUGAGGGCUUAUGGAACCUGGUCACUCCCUGGCUGCUUCACUCAGGAAAGGGAACUAAAACCAGAAUACACUAAGAAGUUUCUAGUUUGUAUGCCAAAACAGAAGCUUCUCCAAGCAUGAUGGCCACAGGUCAGUCCUAUUUCUGUGCCUGGCAUAUCUGGUACUUAAAAUUCUGUCCAAAUGUAGACCAUGGGUUCAUCUGGAGUUCCUUGUCCGUGGGAACACAGUGUUCUAUUCUACUCUGAGGACAACAAACCGAAGGCCUUAAACGAUGGGGAUGGAUGAUCC